This 260-nucleotide ribosomal RNA is filed under the name uncultured bacterium. RNAcentral's name for it is "partial 16S ribosomal RNA". It matches the Rfam family "Bacterial small subunit ribosomal RNA", at positions 94 to 354 of the family's 1533-position model. The record is from RNAcentral.
AGUGGCGGACGGGUGAGUAACGCGUGGAUAACCUGCCUCAUACGGGGGGAUAACAGUUGGAAACGGCUGUUAAUACCGCAUAAGCGCACGAAAUCGCAUGGUUUUGUGUGAAAAACUCCGGUGGUAUGAGAUGGGUCCGCGUCUGAUUAGCUAGUUGGCAGGGUAACGGCCUACCAAGGCGACGAUCAGUAGCCGGCCUGAGAGGGUGUACGGCCACAUUGGGACUGAGACACGGCCCAAACUCCUACGGGAGGCAGCAG